GACGUAGGGCGCGAGCGUUGUCCGGAUUUAUUGGGCGUAAAGAGCUCGUAGGCGGCUCGUUGCGUCGGCUGUGAAAACCCGCAGCUCAACUGUGGGCUUGCAGCCGAUACGGGCGGGCUAGGAUUCGGUAGGGGAGACUGGAAUUCCUGGUGUAGCGGUGAAAUGCGCAGAUAUCAGGAGGAACACCGGUGGCGAAGGCGGCGACCUGGGUAGAUACUGACGCUGAGGUGCGAAAGCGUGGGGAGCAAACAGG
RNAcentral lists this ribosomal RNA (253 nucleotides) under uncultured bacterium. RNAcentral describes it as "partial 16S ribosomal RNA". It matches the Rfam family "Bacterial small subunit ribosomal RNA", at positions 524 to 776 of the family's 1533-position model. The record is from RNAcentral.